RNAcentral lists this long non-coding RNA (3446 nucleotides) under Homo sapiens (human). RNAcentral describes it as "non-protein coding lnc-PPM1G-3:1". The record is from RNAcentral. Lineage: Eukaryota; Metazoa; Chordata; Mammalia; Primates; Hominidae.
CUCCUCCCCUUGCGCCGGUCCGGCCGAGACCUCUCGGAGGGGUCGAUGUUUUCGGUCCCAGCUGGGGCUCGUCUCUCUGUCCACCCCACCGCCCGGUCCAGGUGCCCCAGAUGGUUCUGCUGGACGCAGAGAGGGCCUCCUACCUCUUCUUGAAGGCGCCAUGACAGUUCUAAUGCCUGGAAAAGACAAAAGGAGCGAAAGACAUAGCCUCAGUCCGAGAGGAGCGCCCCCACCCCAGCCCCCGCCUGCAUUAUUUUGGAACGAGACUGGUGUGCAGGACGCCAAUUCUCCGGAAAGCUUUUAAAAUUUACCUAACACUGAAAAUUAGUAGUUAACGCUUGGUGAUUGCUUAGCACUAUUUGCUUAAACUUUGUAAGAGGUUUUCACAGAUGUUAUUUCAUUUGAUCCUCAUAAGAACGAACUCAUUGAAAUUAUCAUUCAAUGGUAGUUGACAAAUGCAAAAACCUGAAUCAGAGGUAUUAAGCUAUUAACCGAAAGUUAAGUUGGUAAGAGCCAAGUCUAGAAUCCGAAACAGUAAAUUUCAUCAAAGGAGACUACGUUGAGAAGAUGUUUGGAAAGAAUUUAGAUUGGUUUCGAGUUAGUGGAAAGAAAAGAUGAUAAAUUCUUGGUGAGCUAUUAAUCUGCGAAAACUAAGCGCGGAGCCUUCAGGAUGGAAGUUCACUCUGCCCUUAGACGUGUAUGAUGGAGGGAAGAUGAUGAAUCAAUCAACAGAACUUGGAAAUGUCACAAUCACCAAAUUUUACUGUCAUUAAAGAGAAUCUCUAAUCCUGUUUCACUGGGAGAAAGGACAACUGGCAGAAACCCUCUCGUUUUCUCAUCAUCUCAAAAUACUCGUUUUUAAAACCAAUCUUUCGGCCGGGCGCGGUGGCUCACGCCCAGCACUUUGGGAGGCCGAGGUGGGCGGAUCACUUGAGGUCAGGAGUUCGAGACCAGCCUGCUCAAUGUAGUAAAACUCCGUCUCUACUAAAAAUACAAAAAUUAGCCGGGCGAGGUAGCACAUGUCUGUUCUCUCAAGCUGCUUGGGAGGCUGAGGCGGGAAGAUCACUUGAGCCCAGGAGGCAGAGGUUGCAGUAGGCCAAGACUGCACGACUACGCUCCAGCCUGGGCAACAGAGUGUGAGAAUCCGUCUCAAAAAAAAAAAAAAAAAAAAAAAAAAAAAAAUAUAUAUAUAUAUAUAUAUAUAUAUAUAUAUAUAUAUAUAUAUGUAUGUAUGUUUUACCCUUUCUUCCUUGAUUCUUCUAUCUUUGGAAGAGGGGGGCUCAAACACCCUUUUUAAAAUCUGAUGUAACUUAUGGGCCUUCUCUUGUACUUUAAAAAAUGCACUUACCCAACAAAUUUAGGAUAUAAUUUCAGGAAACUGAGGUUAAGAAUCUUUGCUCUGGGCUGGGCGCGAUGGCUCAUGCCUGUAAUACCAGCACUUUGGGAGACUGAGGCGGGCGGAUCAUUUGAGGUCAGGAGUUCAAAACCAGCCUGGCCAGCAUGGUGAAACCUCGUCUCUACUAAAAAUACAAAAAUUAGUCAGGCGUGCUUGUGGGCGCCUGUAAUCCCAGCUACUCAGGAGGCUGAGGCAGGAGAAUCACUUGAACCCGGGAGGCAGAGGUUGCUGUUAGCUGAGAUCAGGCCACUGUACUCCAGCCUGGGCGACAAGAGCAAGACUCCACCUAAAAAAUAAAUAAAUAAAUAAAUAAAAUAAUUUCUUGGUUCUAAUCUCAAAGGAAAAGAUUAACCUUUCCUUCCUGUGGGCUCAAAAGCAAUUGGAACACCUGGCCCAGGGUAAACAUUCAUUAAAUAUCAGUUCAUGUUAUCAUUAGAGUUUCCCAUUCUCUUCUGCCUGGGGCUUUAUCAUUAUCAACCUUCCGCUUUCAACUAGGUCCUUUCAAGUAUGCAUGGAGGACCCUUUGGCAUCCUCUAGCUCUCAUUUUUAACCCUUCAUUACAUUUAAAAUGAUCAAAUACUACCUGCAUUUUCACCACCUCAUGUAUUUAUUUUUUCCUGCUUAUAAAAAUAAUUCAUGCUCAUUGCCAAAAAACAACGCAAAAAUAUUCCCAAAACUAUUUUAGUAUAAUGUAAUAUUUAUAUAGUAGCUUCUAUGUGUUAGGCACUUUUAAUUGCUUUAUGACAACAAUGCUGACAACAGUAAUAUGAAUAUUAACAAUUUCUGUAGAAAGUGAAAUCUCUUAUAAUCCUACUUCCCCCGAUAAUUAAGACUUUGGUGUAUUUUUUUUUUUUUGAGGUGGAGUCUCGCUCCAUUGCCCAGGCUGGAGUGCAGUGGCACGAUCUUGGCUCACUGCAACCUCCACCUCCCAAGUUCAAGAGAUUCUCCUGGCCUCAGCCUCCCGAAUAGCUGGGACUACAGGCGUGUGCCACCAUGCCUGGCUAAUUUUUUGUAUAUUUAGUAGAGACGAGGUUUCACCGUGUUAGCCAGGAUGGUCUCGAUCUUCUGACCUCGUGAUCUGCCCACCUUGGCCUCCCAAAGUGCUGGGAUUACAGACAUGAGCCACCGCGCCUGACCUUUUAUUUUUAUUUUUCUAAGUAUAUAUUCACAUAUGUGUAUAUAAUUUUAAAUGAAAACAAGUUUAUACUACAUAACCUUUUUCACUUUUUUCUAUGGCAAUGCACAUGGCCCUACUUUAAUUUUUUAACCACUACUUUAAUUUUUUACUUUACUUGGGUUUUUUUUUGUUGUUGUCUUUUUGUUUUGUUUUGUUUUGUUUUUGAGAUGGAGUCUUGCUCUGUCGCCAGGCUGGAGUGCAGUGGCGCAGUCGUGGCUCACUGCAACCUCCGCCUCCUGGGUUCAAGCGAUUCUCCUGCCUCAGCCUCCCUAGUAGCUGGGAUUACAGGCACGCACCACCAUGCCCAGCUAAUUUUUGUAUUUUUAGUAGAGAUGGGGUUUCACCAUGUCGGCCAGGCUGGUCUUGAACUCCUGACCUCGUGAUCCGCCUGCCUCGGCCUCCCAAAGUGCUGGGAUUACAGGUGUGAGCCACUGCACCCAGCCUUUUUUUUUUUUAAGACAGGAAUCUCACUCCGUCACCCAGGCUGGAGUGUGGUGACUCAGUCUCGGCUAACUGCCACCUCCACCUCCCAGGUUCAAGCGAUUCUCGUGCCUCAGCCUCCCAAGUAGCUGGGACUACAGGCAUGUGCCACCAUGCCCGACUAAUUUUUAUAUUUUUAGUAGAGAGAGAGUUUUACCAUGUUGCCGAGGCUGGUCUUGAACUUCUGAACUCGGGCAAUCCGCCCGCCUUGGCCUACCAAAGUGCUAGGAUUACAGGUGUGAACCACCGUGCCCGACCCUUUACUGGUUAAUUUUUAACCAGCAGAAUAUUCCACUGUCCAAAUAUGCCAGCAUUUAAUUAGUAACUACCUGUGGACAUUGGGAUAACAUUCAUCAUUUAUUAUUAUAAAUAAAGCAGCAAUGAGCAUUUAGC